AUUCUUCUCCUUUAAAACCACUCAUCAACGCCAUUUUGAUCAGUACUCUGAACUGGGGCCAUUUUUCAUCAAAUUUUCUUCAUAUUUCAAAUGCAAAGUCUCAUGUCAGUCCAUCUAACCACUCAUCAGCAAGGUAAUUUUCUGAUUAAUGAAGCAUUUCUUUUAGUCAUUUAUUUGUUUUAUUAUACAUUAACGUACGUGGUCAAAAAUAGCAAAGGAAUCAAAUUGAAACUGAUUUCAUUGCCAUUUUUCGACAAAUUAUUAUCAACUACACCAACUUGCUUACUUUCAUUUUUAACCUCUAUUAACUUUAAUGUGAUGGGCACAAACACUCUUUAUUAUUCCUUCAAACUUAAGUUUUCUCCCCGACCAGUUCUUGAGCUCUUCAAAGUUCUGUACUAACAAUGGCAAUGCAAUCUCUUCUUCCCCAUGAUGAUGAACCAAUAAAUGCUUAUUCAAUUUUUCAUCCCACUCUGCAACCUCUCCCUCACCCUGACAUAUCAAAACAUGUUUAUUCGAUUUCUCAUCUCACUCCCUAACCAGAUCACAACAACAUCGACACCCUUACCAUGAUUAUGCUUUUAAUCUUCUUGGUAUUAAUGGUGUUGUACAUCACAAAACUUAUUACCCGAUGAAUUCAGAAUUAUGGUGGUGGCAGUGAAAUUAGCUAGCAGGUGGAAAUGAUGCAACCAGGUGGCAGUGAAAUUGAUCAGCACAUGGAAAUCAUGCAACCAUGAGACAAUUUGGAGAAUCCGGGUGAGUCUGCAGACCCGCUGUUGAUUAUCACCUACAAUGAUGAUAUUCUUCUUCCGUUCGACCGGAACGGGUGCAUUAUAUGCCUCAACCAAUUUGCUGAGUCGGAGCAAAUUGUUGUGGUGUCCGCUUGCAGUCAUGCAUUCCACUCCGAGUGCAUGGAAGCUUACUUGGUUAAAAGGUCGCUUGGGUGCCCUCUUUGCCAAACGUCAAUCAUCCCAGAUAUUUAGUUUUUGUUUUUUGAAGUUUAAAUUUUGGGGCGAUGUACGGUUAUCAAUUUGUAACCUUUGAGAAAUGAGUAUUUUUCAAAUUGCUCGAGGCAUAUUGAUACCCGUACGUCUGUCAAAAUUUAAACUUCAAAAAACAAAAAACAAAAUAUCUGGGAUGAUUGGCGUUCGGCAAAGGAGGCACGCCAACGGCCCUUCAACCAAGUAAGCUUCUAUGCACUCGAAGUGGAAUGCAUGGCUGCAAGCGGACACCAUAACAAUUUGCUCCAACUCAGCAAAUUGGUUGAGGCAUAUAACGCACCCGUUCUGGUCGAACAGAAGAGGAAUAUCAUCACUAUAGGUGAUGAUCAACAAAGGGGCUACAGAUUCACCUGAGUUCUCCAAAUUGUCUCCUGGUUGCAUCAUUUCCACGUGAUGAUCAAUUUCACUGCCACCUGGUUGCAUCAUUUCCACCUACUAGCCAAUUUCAUUGCCACAAUUCUGUAUACAUCGGUUAAUAAGUUUUGUGAUGUACAACACCAUUGAUACCAAGAAGAUUAAAAGCAAAAUCAUGGUAAGAGUGUCAAUGUGGUUGUGAUCCGGUUAGGGAGUGGGACGAGAAACCGAAUAAACAUGUUUUGGUAUGUCAGGGUGGGGAAGAGGCUGCAGAGUGGGACGGGAAACCGAAUAACCAUUUAUUGGUCAUCAUCAAGGGGAAGAAGAGACUCCAUUACCAUUGUUAGUGCAAAACUUUGAAGAGCUCAAGAACUGGUCGGGGAGAAAACUUAAGUUUGAAGGAAUAAUAAAGAGUGUUUGUGUCCUUCACAUUAAAGUUAAUAGAGGUUAAAAAUGAAAGUAAGCAAGUUGGUGUAGUUGAUAAUAAUUUGUCGAAAAAUGGCAAUGAAAUCAGUUUCAAUUUGAUUCCUUUGCUAUUUUUGACCACGUACGUUAAUGUAUAAUAAAACAAAUAAAUGACUAAAAGAAAUGCUUCAUUAAUCAGAAAAUUACCUUGCUGAUGAGUGGUUAGAUGGACUGACAUGAGACUUUGCAUUUGAAAUAUGAAGAAAAUUUGAUGAAAAAUGGCCCCAGUUCAGAGUACUGAUCAAAAUGGCGUUGAUGAGUGGUUUUAAAGGAGAAGAAUAGAAGAUACUUCUAUACUAGAUAGGCUACUCAAUUCAAUUCUAUACUAGAUACUACUUCACUAAUCAGAAAAUUACCUUGCUGAUGAGUGGUUUGAUGGACUGACAUGGGACUUUGCAUUUGAAAUUUGAUGAAAAAUGACCUGAGUUUAGAGUACUGAUCAAAAUGGCGUUGCUUAUUAGUGGCUUUAAAGAAGAAGAAUAGAAGAUACUACUAUACUAGAUAGGGUACUCAAUUCUAUACAAAGGCACUCUACUAAUAGGAUUCAGAUCCCCUCAGAUUUUAAACAAUUUGAGAUUUUCAAAAUUGUGGCAAUUGGUUGCAUCCAAAGGCCACGAUUUCAAGUCGGGUUAACCAGCUUUAAAAGAAAAAUCAUAACGGUAACAGCCUGUUUCUCUCUCCAAAUUUUCAUUUCCUCCCACCUUUCUCUCUCCCCCAAGUUCUUUCCCUCCCGCCAAGCAGUGCCGGCCACCACCAAGCAAUGUAGCCACCGCCAUCCAAUGCCUCCGUCCACCACAAGCAAUCCCACCAUCCGGCUGAUCUCCGUCAACCUCACGCGGUUUGAUCACCCCCGCCCACCCACCCACCAUGACACCAACGGUAUGUUUUUCUUUUGAUUCUUUCUUAUUUUUUUGGGUUCAGCAAGUUUUUUUUUGGGGGGGAUAUAUAGAAAGUUGCAAAUAAUUUUUAAUCUGCAUUGUGGUUUGUUUCUUUCUUGCUUUAUAGGUUUAGACUGAGCUUUGAUCGAAGAUGGGUUUUCUCUCUUUCAUCUUAAGCUUAAAUUUCACCGUUUCUCCUUCACGGUUCUCUUAACCUGACCCUGCAUUUUGCCUUUGUUAGUUUUGAUGUUUCUCAAGUAUGAUUUUUUUCAUUUGUUGCCUAUGUAGCUUCAAUGAUUGGGUGUUUAUUUUAUUUAACUUUUUUGAAGUUUCAUUAUUUUUAGUAGCAAUCUGUGUACGUUUUCUUUUUUAUGUAGUUGUUUUCUUUCUUGGGAAUUUCUGAGUAGCAUUGAAGUUCAUAGUGUUUUCAUUUGGCUUAGUGAUGGAUUCCUUUGGUGAUAAGUGGGAUGAGGAAUUCUCUACCAUUGGAGACAAAGGAGAAAUCAGUUUUAUUGAUUAUGGGGAUGAGGGUCCUAUUGCUAUUUCUGCCCCAUUUACUCUCGUGGGGGGAAAGCCUCAAUCAGUAACCGUAGGAGAAACUGCUGCAGUUCUUGAUGCAAUUCUGUGAUGCAGUUCUUGAAAACAGGGUCUCCCCAAGCACUUUUGUGAUGCACAUUUGCCUAAGCAUGAUACCAAAAUUGUUUUGGAAGAUGAAGGUGGGGAAGAAUUUUGAAACAAAAUAUCUUGAGAAAUGCUAGAAAUGCACCCCUCAUCCCCCCUUUGUCUCCCCCUUUUCCUUAAAAAAAUUGAUUUUAAGGAAAAAGUUGUCUCUGAUGUCACAUCAAAGACAACUUUUUCCUUUGAGAAAUGCUAAAAAACAUCCCUUCAUCCCCCCUUCAUACCCCCCUUUUCAUUAAAACCAAUUUAUUUAAUGAAAAGGGAGGAUGAGAGGAGGAUGAGGGGUGCAUGUGUAGCACCCCUCUUUUCCUUUUAUUACAAAGGGAGGAUGAGGGGGGGAUGAGGUGUGCAUGUGUAGCAUGGCUCAAAUAUCUUUGGGUAAAGGUGGGACUAAGUGCUGGAUGGAGAGGGUUUUCUAUCACUCACAAGUUACUGGUGGGAGAUAUCGUGAUUUUCCAUUUAGUCAAGCCUUCCAAGUUUAAGGUGGUCAUUUGAACCUUCUUGUUGUUGCUUAUAGCUUACCUUGAGCCCAAACUCCUUGAGUGCUUAUAAUAAAUACUAUUUACAUUGCUUGGUGUUGAUUAUUUCAUCAAAGUACCCAAUUUAUUUUUAAAGUGAAGGACAACCAUUCUGCAGAAACUGAAAUGGACCAAAGAGUUGGCUUAAUCAAUUAUUUUGUAAUUUUUUUCCUUAACAAAUAACUCUCCUAAAGGCCUCAUCCACUUCUUUUCUCUUUCCAAUGCAUGUUGCUUAAAAGGAUAUAAUUUAUGAUGCUGCUUGCAGCAGUUACUUGUCAAUGCUAUUAUAUGUGUAAUUUUUACCUGACCCAUUUUAGGUAUACAUUGUGAGAUCUAGUAGUUCAGAUGAAGUGGAUGGUGCUUUUACCCUCUUAAAAUUGGAUACUUGCAUGAAACAAAUGAAUUGGCAAUACGAAAACCAAUGCUUGUGAAGAGUCGGUAAAUGACGGUUUGGAGCCUCCUUCUCAAGAAAAUACUAUGGAUAGCCGGAUGGUCUGUGGUACUGAUCUCGGGCCAAUAGCUUGUGAAUAUUUCACUGAAAUCAAAGAGGUAUAAAGAAGCUAGGCUUGAACGAGAUCAUGCAGAAGAGGAGAAGCUUUUGGAAAUAAAAGAGAGAAUGAAUAGCCUUGAUGCCGAGAUUGAGAAUCUGGAUCCCACUGCUGAGAGGCUUGAGCUUAUGUUUGAAGAACUGGCUAAUGCCCCUUGGUAAUGAGGAAUUUGUCAUUGGUUCCAAGCUUUUGUGUGAAGUAUAAGAACUAUUCCAGGACCAGGAAUAUGUCGAUGCUUGACAGUGAAGAGCGGUUUUGUUUUACUGGUAUAUUGCUUUUUUUUGUUAAGUUUCUCUCACAUAAAUUGAUAGUUUCACAAAGGAUCACUUUUUAUCAGCACUAUAACUAUCUUUUUGUAAGUUAAGGUGAUUAAUGAUAGGGAUGGAUGACUGGAGAAACUCGUACAACUGUUAGCAAUAGCCAGAGGAGAUAUUAUUGUAUCUAUUGGCUCUCUCUUUUAUAAGCUUUUCGACGAUUACCUAUUAUAAAAGCUGUAAUUAUUAGACAA
Long non-coding RNA from Alnus glutinosa, 4950 nucleotides. RefSeq lists it as uncharacterized. NCBI's taxonomy places the organism in Eukaryota, Viridiplantae, Streptophyta, Magnoliopsida, Fagales, Betulaceae. The record is from RefSeq and is a predicted model, not a curated record. The transcript has 2 exons.